AGAGCGAACGCUGGCGGCAGGCCUAACACAUGCAAGUCGAGCGCCCGUAGCAAUACGGGAGCGGCAGACGUGAGAGUAACACGUGGGAACGCGCCCUUCGGUUCGGAAUAACUCAGGGAAACUUGAGCUAAUACCGGAUACGCCCUUACGGGGAAAGAUUUAUUGCCGAAGGAACGGCCCGCGUCCGAUUAGCUUGUUGGUGAGGUAAUGGCUCACCAAGGCGACGAUCGGUAGCUGGUCUGAGAGGAUGACCAGCCUCACUGGGACUGAGACACGGCCCAGACUCCUACGGGAGGCAGCAGUGGGGAAUAUUGGACAAUGGGCGCAAGCCUGAUCCAGCCAUGCCGCGUGGAUGAUGAAGGCCCUAGGGUUGUAAAGUCCUUUUAACGGGGAAGAUAAUGACGGUACCCGUAGAAUAAGCCCCGGCUAACUUCGCGCCAGCAGCCGC
This 448-nucleotide ribosomal RNA is filed under the name uncultured bacterium. Its description in RNAcentral is "SSU rRNA". It matches the Rfam family "Bacterial small subunit ribosomal RNA", at positions 26 to 518 of the family's 1533-position model. The record is from RNAcentral.